RNAcentral lists this long non-coding RNA (386 nucleotides) under Salmo salar (Atlantic salmon). Its description in RNAcentral is "lncRNA (ENSSSAG00000097077.1)". Lineage: Eukaryota; Metazoa; Chordata; Actinopteri; Salmoniformes; Salmonidae. The record is from RNAcentral.
GGAAGGGCGGGUGAGAGAGAGAGAGAGAUAUAUAUAAACACUAACAGCUUACAUUACACUCCUCACAUUCACCCAGCCUGAGGUGAGACAUGGGAGGUUUCCACAGAACCUGGCUGUGAAUCAAACUAGGGAGUAGGCUGUGAAUCAAACUAGGGAUUGGGCUGUGAAUCAAACUAUGGAGUGGGCUGUGAAUCAAACUAGGGAGUAGGCGGUGCCAGUUUGCCACUCUCCCUCCUAAAUCUAACCCGAGGAAAAAUAAGGUUAUUAAUUCACAGAGAUCUUCUCUUCCUUCCAAGAAGAGAGAGAUUUUUCUUACUUCAAAAAAAAAGUUGAGAUGAAUGUUUUUUUAAAGGAAGAGAUAGUAUGGUCAGUGUAGUACUUGGAAU